GAUGAAUGCUGGCGGCGUGCCUAACACAUGCAAGUCAAGCGGCAGCGCGAGUAGUUUACUACUUGGCGGCGAGCGGCGGACGGCUGAGUAACGCGUGGGAACGUGCCCCAAAGUGAGGAAUAACUGCCCGAAAGGGUGGCUAAUGCCGCAUAUGAUCUUCGGAUUAAAGUCUUCGGACGCUUUGGGAGCGGCCCGCGUCGGAUUAGGUAGUUGGUGAGGUAAUGGCUCCCCAAGCCGACGAUCCGUAGCUGGUCUGAGAGGAUGAUCAGCCAGACUGGGACUGAGACACGGCCCAGACUCCUACGGGAGGCAGCAGUGAGGAAUCUUCCACAAUGGGCGAAAGCCUGAUGGAGCAACGCCGCGUGAAGGAUGAAGGCCCUCGGGUUGUAAACUUCUUUUAUAAGUGAAGAAUAUGACGGUAACUUAUGAAUAAGCACCGGCUAACUACGUGCCAGCCGCCGCCGUAA
RNAcentral lists this ribosomal RNA (467 nucleotides) under uncultured bacterium. RNAcentral describes it as "partial 16S ribosomal RNA". It matches the Rfam family "Bacterial small subunit ribosomal RNA", at positions 28 to 523 of the family's 1533-position model. The record is from RNAcentral.